Long non-coding RNA from Neopelma chrysocephalum (saffron-crested tyrant-manakin), 280 nucleotides. RefSeq lists it as uncharacterized. NCBI's taxonomy places the organism in Eukaryota, Metazoa, Chordata, Aves, Passeriformes, Pipridae. The record is from RefSeq and is a predicted model, not a curated record. The transcript is spliced from 3 exons.
CUCUGUCCCACGCCUGUAAAAACGCCGUGAAAACCGACGCCCCCCCCGCGGUGCUCUGGGACAUCAUGCGAUGCUGGGCCAAGCUGCACCCGGUGAAGCUGGAGCGGCUCCCGGACACGAGCCCGGCCGCGCGGAUCCUCGCUGUGGAGCCCACGCUCCAGGCCUCCUUCGCCCUCCGGGACGACGCCAAUCCCAGCUCCCGGAAACGCGGCUUGAAGAGGUUCCCCGAAAACCCCGAAGCCUUUUGGGGUCCCAAGGCCAGAGCCAAGGCAGGGUGAGG